This 209-nucleotide ribosomal RNA is filed under the name Acinetobacter baumannii OIFC137. RNAcentral's name for it is "partial 16S ribosomal RNA". It matches the Rfam family "Bacterial small subunit ribosomal RNA", at positions 84 to 296 of the family's 1533-position model. RNAcentral also lists the same sequence under 1 other name. The record is from RNAcentral. Lineage: Bacteria; Pseudomonadati; Pseudomonadota; Gammaproteobacteria; Moraxellales; Moraxellaceae.
UACCGGACCUAGCGGCGGACGGGUGAGUAAUGCUUAGGAAUCUGCCUAUUAGUGGGGGACAACAUCUCGAAAGGGAUGCUAAUACCGCAUACGUCCUACGGGAGAAAGCAGGGGAUCUUCGGACCUUGCGCUAAUAGAUGAGCCUAAGUCGGAUUAGCUAGUUGGUGGGGUAAAGGCCUACCAAGGCGACGAUCUGUAGCGGGUCUGAG